This 184-nucleotide ribosomal RNA is filed under the name uncultured bacterium. RNAcentral's name for it is "partial 16S ribosomal RNA". It matches the Rfam family "Bacterial small subunit ribosomal RNA", at positions 1315 to 1500 of the family's 1533-position model. The record is from RNAcentral.
CCUUCAUGAAGCCGGAAUUGCUAGUAAUGGCAGGUCAGCAUACUGCCGUGAAUACGUUCCCGGGCCUUGUACACACCGCCCGUCACACCAUGAGAGUUGGGAAUACCCGAAGCCUGUGAGCUAACGCAAGAGGCAGCAGUCGAAGGUAGAAUCAAUGAUUGGGGUGAAGUCGUAACAAGGUAUC